Molecule: non-coding RNA, 389 nt
Organism: Carica papaya (papaya)
Lineage: Eukaryota; Viridiplantae; Streptophyta; Magnoliopsida; Brassicales; Caricaceae
Source: RefSeq, a predicted model, not a curated record
CNUUCAAUUGAGGUUUUUGUGAUGAGGAAUGUGCAGAGGGACAUCAAAGGACUGAAGGUGGUAACUCCACUUUUCCGCUCAGGCAGGUUGAUGGAAGAGACAUAAAGAAAGAGACUGAGCUCCUGAGACAGAAUCCUCUGCGCAAUUUCCCUCCAAACAGCAUUCCUAGAUGACUACAGAGGCCUUUCUUACGCAUUGUAAAAUGGCUGCACAUAUGGAUCAGCUUUUGUCUCUAAAGCUUGAUCCAUUUCAAGUUAUUGCAUGGUUUGUGUUUGUCUUCAUGUCCUCUUAUUCCCUCAAAUCUUGAUGAACCAUAUUUGUAAUAUGCUCUCAAAAUUGUAAGACUGGUUUGUUGGUUUUCCGUUGUUGAAAUUCUUCAGUUCUUAAAA